RNAcentral lists this ribosomal RNA (497 nucleotides) under uncultured bacterium. RNAcentral describes it as "partial 16S ribosomal RNA". It matches the Rfam family "Bacterial small subunit ribosomal RNA", at positions 28 to 507 of the family's 1533-position model. The record is from RNAcentral.
GAUGAACGCUGGCGGCGUGCCUAAUACGUGCAAGUCGAGCGAACAGAUAAGGAGCUUGCUCCUUUGACGUUAGCGGCGGACGGGUGAGUAACACGUGGAUAACCUACCUAUAAGACUGGGAUAACUUCGGGAAACCGGAGCUAAUACCGGAUAACAUAUUGAACCGCAUGGUUCAAUAGUGAAAGGCGGCUUUGCUGUCACUUAUAGAUGGAUCCGCGCCGUAUUAGCUAGUUGGUAAGGUAACGGCUUACCAAGGCAACGAUACGUAGCCGACCUGAGAGGGUGAUCGGCCACACUGGAGCUGAGACACGGUCCAGACUCCUACGGGAGGCAGCAGUAGGGAAUCUUCCGCAAUGGGCGAAAGCCUGACGGAGCAACGCCGCGUGAGUGAUGAAGGUCUUCGGAUCGUAAAACUCUGUUAUCAGGGAAGAACAAAUGUGUAAGUAACUGUGCACAUCUUGACGGUACCUGAUCAGAAAGCCACGGCUAACUACGUG